UGGCGGCAGGCCUAACACAUGCAAGUCGAGCGGCAGCGGGAAAGUAGCUUGCUAGAGUUGCCGGCGAUUUUCGGACGGGUGAGUAAUGCCUGGGGAUCUGCCCAGUCGAGGGGGAUAACUACUGGAAACGGUAGCUAAUACCGCAUACGCCCUACGGGGGAAAGCAGGGGACCUUCGGGCCUUGCGCGAUUGGAUGAACCCAGGUGGGAUUAGCUAGUUGGUGAGGUAAUGGCUCACCAAGGCGACGAUCCCUAGCUUAGUCUGAGAGGAUGAUCAGCCACCCUAGAACUGAGACACGGUCCAGACUCUUACGGGAGGCAGCAGUGGGGAAUAUUGCACAAUGGGGGAAACCCUGAUGCAGCCAUGCCGCGUGUGUGAAGAAGGCCUUCGGAAAAAAAAACACUUUCAGCGAGGAGGAAAGGUUGGUAGCUAAUAACUGCCAGCUGUGACGUUACUCGCAGAAGAAGCACCGGCUAACUCCGUGCCAGCAGCCGCGGUAAUACGGAGGGUGCAAGCGUUAAUCGGAAUUACUGGGCGUAAAGCGCACGCAGGCGGUUGGAUAAGUUAGGUGUGAAAGCCCCGGGCUCAACCUGGGAAUUGCAUUUAAAACUGUCCGGCUAGAGUCUUGUAGAGGGGGGUAGAAUUCCAGGUGUAGCGGUGAAAUGCGUAGAGAUCUGGAGGAAUACCGGUGGCGAAGGCGGCCCCCUGGACAAAGACUGACGCUCAGGUGUGAAAGCGUGGGAGCAAACAGGAUUAGAUACCCUGGUAGUCCACGCCGUAAA
RNAcentral lists this ribosomal RNA (782 nucleotides) under uncultured bacterium. RNAcentral describes it as "bacterial SSU rRNA". It matches the Rfam family "Bacterial small subunit ribosomal RNA", at positions 37 to 806 of the family's 1533-position model. The record is from RNAcentral.